GACGUAGGGCGCGAGCGUUGUCCGGAUUUAUUGGGCGUAAAGAGCUCGUAGGCGGUUUGUCGCGUCGGAUGUGAAAUUUUAGGGCUCAACCCUGACAUUGCAUCCGAUACGGGCAGGCUAGAGUUCGGUAGGGGAGACUGGAAUACUUGGUGUAGCAGUGAAAUGCGUAGAUAUCAAGUGGAACACCAGUGGCGAAGGCGAGUCUCUGGACAUUUCCUGACGCUGAGGCACGAAAGCCAGGGGAGCAAACGGG
RNAcentral lists this ribosomal RNA (253 nucleotides) under uncultured bacterium. RNAcentral's name for it is "partial 16S ribosomal RNA". It matches the Rfam family "Bacterial small subunit ribosomal RNA", at positions 524 to 776 of the family's 1533-position model. The record is from RNAcentral.